This 254-nucleotide ribosomal RNA is filed under the name uncultured bacterium. RNAcentral's name for it is "partial 16S ribosomal RNA". It matches the Rfam family "Bacterial small subunit ribosomal RNA", at positions 524 to 776 of the family's 1533-position model. The record is from RNAcentral.
UACGUAGGGGGCGAGCGUUGUCCGGAUUUAUUGGGCGUAAAGGGCGCGUAGGCGGCCCCCGCAAGUCGACUGUGAAAUCUCCGGGCUUAACCCGGAAAGGUCAGCCGAUACUGCGGGGCUAGAGUGCAGAAGGGGCAACUGGAAUUCUCGGUGUAGCGGUGAAAUGCGUAGAUAUCGAGAGGAACACCUGCGGCGAAGGCGGGUUGCUGGGCUGACACUGACGCUGAACUGCGAAAGCUAGGGGAGCGAACGGG